GUGACCCAUUAUGGGAUGUUGUUAGAUGUUUAUGUAACGUAGUGAGAAUGACCAUCUAGAUUUUAAUUAGAUCGAGUUUGUUAAUGCUAUUUCUUGAAAAAUGCUGAAGGGAUGUUUCUCACGUUUGAUACACAUAGGGAAAACAAAAUGGUUGACCAGCAGACAUAUUGAAUUUUGACAGUUAAAAAUUGUUAUUGAUACACAUCAGAAAGUUUUUCUCAAAUCUUUCUUUGACUUCAUACAUAGGUUCCCAAUGUUAUCAAAUGAUUUAGAGGAAGACGGGAAAGAAGGUAAAAGAAGAGAAAAGAUCAGUCUUACAUAGAACUGAUAAGACCUGUCAAUGGUGGCCGCCAAAUACCACAUUAUGUGUUUUUGUUUUACUAUACAUCAUAUAUUACUCUACACCCUAUGUUAAACAGUACUAUAUUUAUCUGGCUUUUAGCCUGGUAGUCGUUCCAUAGCCACCCAUGCAUGUCCAUUGCAAUACAAAUGUCCAUGUAAACACUAUAGAUAAACAUACACAGUACAAUAUAAGAGAAUAUUUUGUAAGUAUUAUUAGCCAUACUUUUGAGAUCUCAAAUAUUAUUUGCUGGCAACCUGUGUUCAUUACAGUUUUUUGUCUUUUCAAUAAUUUCUGCGGCAUGUAAUUUUCCAGUAAAAAUUCAUACACUUGAAUGUGUCAUGUCUUCAAGGAUAUUUCUAUCAUGCAAAUAAGAUAAGCUAUUCCGACAUAAAAUUUGAUUAUAUGACAAGAAAUCUUGGAAUGGUUUAAUGUUUUUAAGUUAUUUUCCAGUGACAGGAUCUAAUAUAUAUGUAUAUUUCUGUGAUGAUAAUUAUUAUGUGAUGUCAGAAAAAUGUCAGAUUUAUAAUCAUAUUUUUUUAGUUCAUGAUUUUCCUGGUGUUAAUCAAGAUGAUAUUUAAGAAGGAAGUUGGUAGUGAAACCACACUUUCUGAGCAAUCAUUCCAAGUUUGAUUGUUGUUUUCUGCCAAACAGUGUUAGUAACUAGAAAAAACAGAAUAUUCUCCCUGUGGUUACUGUCCAUGGCUAAACAGAGGCUUAAUUGGCACAUAUUCACAAACUCCACAGUCAGUUUGUGUAUUAUAUGUAAAUAAUAUUAGUCAAGAAUUUUAACAUUUUAUUUGUAUUUCUUUUUGUUUGAAUUUAAAAGUAGCUAAUGUCAGUAAAACUUGAAUUUAAAUUGAUAGUUUCCCACCGAUUAAAUUCACUACCUAAUAGGGACUCUACUCAGAGUAAUUAAAUUUUUUACCUUAUAGGGAUUCCACUACAAUUUUGCUCCGGUUAUUUAUCUAUAAUAAUGUAUUUUGUAUGUCACCUUGUUAUGUUUUUACUGGGUAUUAUAAAAGUACCUGUUACAGUGAUAUUGUUGUUGUUGACUUGUUAGAUACUAGGUUACCAAUCCAUGGUAAUUUUAAAUGGAUGUUAGCUCUGUAAUUAAAUUACUCUGUAUACAUGGAGUCAUAGUUAAUUAAACAUCAAAUAUGAAUUGGAUUAUUGGAGUAGGACUUACAUUCUAUUUGGUGUUCUGCCUGUGUGAAUUUUUAUGAUAAACUAAUAUUGUUGCACAACAGAUUUUUACCGUUUUCUUAUUGGUGGAGACCUCUUCAUCAGGUCUUGUCAAAAAGCAAUUUUAACCUGCAAUUGGUGAAUUCCUUCGAGAGGUUAGUAAUGCAAAUUGUUAACCUUGACUCUAAAUAGUUACAAGGAAUUUUUUAUGCUUCAGAAUUUUUGACCAAUCACAAAAGAGAUUAGUCAGUCAUCGGGCUAUAACCUUUAUAAUGAAAACAGGCGAAAGCACUGCUGGGCUUGGUAAGAAACGUUCUGGAUGUAUUUCUACACCUAUCUACAAACAAUUGGGGUUAACUUACACAUAGGAUGGCAUCAAAACUGCCAAAGAAACACAGGCAAAGAUAUUCCAGAAUCAUUUUGCAGGAAAAGGCCAUGACUUUAACUUUGAACAUCAAGCUGACAUUGACCUUUCAGUGAAUCACUUGUACUAACCUCAGGUAGUCAUUUUGAUACUAACAGUAAAUGGAAAGCUUUAAUUUUUCAUUUUUUCUUUAUAAUACAAAAACAUUUUGAUAUUUAGGUUGUUUUUGUUUUAUUAGAAUUUCUUCAACGACUGUUCAAGACUGUUAAAUUCAUAAAUUACAUUCUUCUAUACAACUUGUAUAGUAAGAAUCAUUUCAUAGGUACAUAUUGACUUUGUUAACAAUUCCUUGUGUUAUUAGACCUUAACAGGAUGGAUAAUUGUAUAUUAUGAAGCACAAACUGCACAAAUAGUGAUGUGAGCACAUAGAAGAUUAUUUAUACUGUUAACAUUUUGUCAGACAAAUGGCAAGUUCUGUCAACAUUUUGUCAGACAAAUGGCAAGUUCUGUCAACAUUUUGUCAGACAAAAGACAAUUAAGUUCUAUCAACAUUUUGUCAAGAAAAAUGGUCAGAAAAACAUAUACUUUGUUUUAAUGUAUAAAUACUGGUCUGCUCAUUGAAUUGGAAGCCAGGUUCAGGUUUGUACAUGUAUAGACUUGUACAUGUAUAGAUGACUUGUACAUGUAUAGACUUGUACAUGUAUAGAUGACUUGUACAUGUAUAGAUGACUUGUACAUGUAUAGAUGACUCGUACAUGUAUAGAUGACUUGUACAUGUAUAGAUGACUUGUACAUGUAUAGAUGACUUGUACAUGUAUAGAUGACUCGUACAUGUAUAGAUGACUUGUACAUGUAUAGAUGAAUUGUGAUAAUUUCGUUGUAAUUAGUGUCGGAUAUAUUUCCACAACGAUAGUGAAAGUGUUUAUAUCAUCUAAAACCUAUCAUGUAAAAUGUUGCCUGGUUUUGUUUUGUAAACUUUUAACUUUAUCUUUUACUUUGUUCACUUUGAAUUAUUUCUUCAAUGAUAAUUAAGAGUCAGGCGAGAUGCUUGGUCACAAUGGUUCUGUUGUUUGUUGCAGAUUUCCGAAUUUCACAGAAUAUUUCACAAUUUAUUUAGAAAUUCAUAAAUGAUUAGGUGGUUCUAUAGUAAAUACCCUGGGAGUCGUUAACCACAAUAAUGAAGUUGUAAUACAGUAUUUGGGUUGACAUUAUACUGUGCAAGGAAUACUUCUGCCAAUUUCUUUUAUUCCAGAUUGUCUGUCAUGAUGACAAAGACAUGAUUCAUUGUCGCAAAUGAAGUCACUUUUUGCAUUGUUUUAACUUGUCUACACACUGUGAAUAGAAAUUGUUAACACCAGAAGGAAAAACAAUAAAAAGUAUUUUUUUA
This is a long non-coding RNA of Pecten maximus, 3276 nucleotides long. RefSeq lists it as uncharacterized. Lineage: Eukaryota; Metazoa; Mollusca; Bivalvia; Pectinida; Pectinidae. The transcript has 2 exons. The record is from RefSeq and is a predicted model, not a curated record.